RNAcentral lists this ribosomal RNA (253 nucleotides) under uncultured bacterium. RNAcentral's name for it is "partial 16S ribosomal RNA". It matches the Rfam family "Bacterial small subunit ribosomal RNA", at positions 524 to 776 of the family's 1533-position model. The record is from RNAcentral.
UACGGAGGGUGCAAGCGUUAGUCGGAAUUACUGGGCGUAAAGCGUGCGCAGGCGGUUUUGUAAGUCAGAUGUGAAAUCCCCGGGCUUAACCUGGGAACUGCGUUUGAAACUACAAGGCUAGAGUGUGGCAGAGGGGGGUGGAAUUCCACGUGUAGCAGUGAAAUGCGUAGAGAUGUGGAGGAACACCGAUGGCGAAGGCAGCCCCCUGGGUUAACACUGACGCUCAGGCACGAAAGCGUGGGGAGCAAACAGG